UACAGAGGGUGCGAGCGUUAAUCGGAAUUACUGGGCGUAAAGCGUGCGUAGACGGUAGCGUAAGUCAGAUGUGAAAGCCCCGGGCUCAACCUGGGAAUUGCAUUUGAGACUGCUCUGCUCGGGUGCGGAAGAGGGAAGCGGAAUUUCCGGUGUAGCGGUGAAAUGCGUAGAUAUCGGAGGGAACACCAGUGGCGAAAGCGGCUUCCUGGUCCGACACCGACGUUCAGGCACGAAAGCGUGGGGAGCAAACAGG
Molecule: ribosomal RNA, 253 nt
Filed under: uncultured bacterium
Lineage: Bacteria
Description: partial 16S ribosomal RNA
Rfam family: Bacterial small subunit ribosomal RNA
Source: RNAcentral